GCAAACUUGGUCAUUUAGAGGAAGUAAAAGUCGUAACAAGGUUUCCGUAGGUGAACCUGCGGAAGGAUCAUUACCGAGUUAGGGUCCCUCGUGGCCCGACCUCCCAACCCUUGUGUUUAACCAAAUCACGUUGCUUCGGCGGGCCCGUCUCCCCUCGCCAGAGGGAGGACCGUCGGGCUGUUCUCACAGCCUGGCCCGUUGCCCGUCGAUAGCCCAACUUAUCAAACUCUUGUUAAAACCUUUGACGUCUGAGUAUAAAAUUUUAAUUAAAUUAAAACUUUCAACAACGGAUCUCUUGGUUCUGGCAUCGAUGAAGAACGCAGC
Molecule: unclassified non-coding RNA, 324 nt
Filed under: uncultured fungus
Lineage: Eukaryota; Fungi
Description: partial contains small subunit ribosomal RNA, internal transcribed spacer 1, and 5.8S ribosomal RNA
Rfam family: Eukaryotic small subunit ribosomal RNA (bases 1-73)
Source: RNAcentral